GGGGAGGGGACGCUGGGGCCUCACUGGGAGGUGGGUUGUAGGAGCUGUGAUGGAAACAAUAGUGAACGUUUAAAAUAAAAAAAAACAAACAUCACAGGACACGGUACAUUCCCACUAGCACCCUCUCAGAAGCCCCCAACACACUCAGCCCAUAGUCCCUGCCCCUUCCUGCAGCAGCUCUGGAGUUCUCUUUCCUGAGUGUCUUUUAAUCACACCGUCCUGGCUGCCUCCACGUCCUGAAUGGAUUCAAAACGUUUCCCUGGGCCAGGGAUUUGGCUCAGGGGUUCCACUGCCUGCCUCUCAAGCGUAAGGUCCUGAGUUCGAUCCCCGGUACCAAAAAAAAAAAAAAAACCCAAAAGAAGUUUCCCUGUCGUGGUCUUUGGGGAAGAUCCAGAAAGUCGCACAAAUCGCUUCUCGGCCCAUUUGGCUAAGAUCAAGCGCAGAAAGUCGCACAAUUGCGGGAUCCAACGACGAAGGUGGGGCAGGGACCCAGCGUCACGUUUUUCGUGGGCCGCCUUUCCACUGGGUGGCGCUGUGCAGCAGCGUUAGCCAAAUUUCGAUCCCGCCUGGUAAAGACCCUCAGGAAAUAGGAUGCCCGAGCUGCUGCGGAAAUGGCCGGAAGCGUGGGAUCGGAGCCAGAACACGAAUAAAAGCGCUGCCUCCACCUGGAAGACCCCUGUCCCUACUUCAAAGCCCCCAUCUUAAGGCUUCUCCCCAUGCAGCUGGAUUCCCCAGGCAGAGCCCUCUUCAUCAACCUGGGUCCCUCUUUGUGUCCCCCAUGCUGACCCCGGCAGCCGGACAUGUCCAUGUCUAGCUUAAGGCCCUGACUACAGCAAGUACUCAAUAAAAGUUGACAGCGUGGGCAGGCGGACUGACAUCUAGCCCGUUCCACUGUGAAUCCCUAAGGAAACUCAGUCUCAGCUAGCCGCUUACACACACACCACGCGCACGUAUGCACACGCACGCACAAGCACACACACACACACACACACACACACGACGAGCGCGCCUGCUGGUACACAGCUGGGGCUUCAUAAAUGCUCUCUGCCCAACCAGACCACAGAAAACGAUGUCAUAGGCAGGAGGCUCCAGGGCCUCCUGGAGGCAGCUGGGGAAACUGAGGCACAG
Molecule: long non-coding RNA, 1128 nt
Filed under: Fukomys damarensis (Damara mole-rat)
Lineage: Eukaryota; Metazoa; Chordata; Mammalia; Rodentia; Bathyergidae
Description: lncRNA (ENSFDAG00000027571.1)
Source: RNAcentral